GCGUUUGUAGUCCAACGGUUAGGAUAAUUGCCUUCCGAGCAAUUGAUGACCCGGGUUCAACUCCCGGCAAAUGCA
Ipomoea nil (Japanese morning glory) is the source of this 75-nucleotide transfer RNA. It matches the Rfam family "tRNA". Rfam says of the family: Transfer RNA (tRNA) molecules are approximately 80 nucleotides in length. Their secondary structure includes four short double-helical elements and three loops (D, anti-codon, and T loops). NCBI's taxonomy places the organism in Eukaryota, Viridiplantae, Streptophyta, Magnoliopsida, Solanales, Convolvulaceae. The record is from Rfam.